This 403-nucleotide ribosomal RNA is filed under the name uncultured bacterium. RNAcentral's name for it is "partial 16S ribosomal RNA". It matches the Rfam family "Bacterial small subunit ribosomal RNA", at positions 30 to 526 of the family's 1533-position model. The record is from RNAcentral.
AUUGAACGCUGGCGGCAGGCCUAACACAUGCAAGUCGAGCGAGCGGCGGACGGGUGAGUAAUGUAUGGGGACUGCCCGAUAGAGGGGGAAAACAACUGGAAACGGUAGCUAAUACCGCAUACUAUCGGAUAAUCCAUAUGGGAUUAGCUAGUAGGUGAGGUAAUGGAUCACCUAGGCAACGAUCCCAAGCUGUUCUGAGAGAAUGAUCAGCAACACUGGGACUGAAACAGGUCCCGUAGACCUACGGGGGCAGCAGUGGGGAAUAUUGCUCAAGAGGAGCAAGCCUGAUGCAGCCAUGACGCGAGGAUGAAAGAGGCACUAGGGUAGUAAAGUACUUUCAGUCGGGAGGCGUUACCGACAGCAGAAGCACCGGCUAACUCCGUGCCAGCAGCCGCGGUAAUAC